AGUGGGGAAUAUUGCACAAUGGGCGAAAGCCUGAUGCAGCGACGCCGCGUGAAUGAAGAAGUCUUUAGGGAUGUAAAGUUCUUUCGCUAGGGAAAAUAAUGAUGGUACCUAGAUAAGAAGGACCGGCUAACUAUGUGCCAGCAGCCGCGGUAAUACAUAGGGUCCAAGCGUUAUCCGGAAUUACUGGGCGUAAAGAGUAUGUAGGCGGCUUAUUAAGUCAGGUGUUAAAUCUAGAAGCUCAACUUCUAAUCGCGCCUGAAACUAAUUGGCUUUGAGUCUUGAAGAGGAAAGUGGAACUCACAGUGUAGCGGUGAAAUGCGUAGAUAUUGUGAGGAACACCAGUGGCGAAGGCGGCUUUCUGGUCAAGUACUGACGCUGAGAUACGAAAGCAUGGGGAGCAAACAGGAUUAGAUACCCUGGUAGUCCAUGCUGUAAACGAUGUUCAUUAGGUGUAGGAGGUAUCGACCCCUUCUGUGCCGUAGCUAACGCGUUAAAUGAACCGCCUGGGGAGUACGAUCGCAAGAUUAAAACUCAAAGAAAUUGACGGGGGCCCGCACAAGCAGUGGAUCAUGUGGUUUAAUUCGACGAUACACGAAAAACCUUACCAGUACUUGACAUCUAGCUGAUUCUUAUGGAAGCAUAGGAUGACCCGCAAGGGAGGCUAAGACAGGUGGUGCAUGGUUGUCGUCAGCUCGUGUUGUGAAAUGUUGGGUUAAGUUCCGCAACGAGCGCAACCCCUAUUCUGUGUUACCAGCACUAACGGUGGGGACUCACGGAAGACUGCCUGUGGAAAACAGGAGGAAGGUGGGGAUGACGUCAAAUCAUCAUGCCCCUUAUGUUCUGGGCUACACACAUGAUACAAUGGUCAGGUCAAAGGGUCGCGAAGCCGCAAGGUGAAGCCAAUCUCACAAACCUGGCCUCAAUUCGGAUUGCAGGCUGCAACUCGCCUGCAUGAAGCUGGAAUUGCUAGUAAACGCAGAUCAGCACGCUGCGUUGAAUACGUUCCCGGGCCUUGUACACACCGCCCGUCACACCAUGAAAGCUGGAAAUACCCGAAGUCCUUGGUUUACUGAGGCCGAAGGUAGAGUCAGUGAUUGGGGUG
Molecule: ribosomal RNA, 1102 nt
Filed under: uncultured bacterium
Lineage: Bacteria
Description: bacterial SSU rRNA
Rfam family: Bacterial small subunit ribosomal RNA
Source: RNAcentral